UGAAUGUUAACAAGAUCCAUUUUAGGAGU
RNAcentral lists this non-coding RNA (29 nucleotides) under Homo sapiens (human). Lineage: Eukaryota; Metazoa; Chordata; Mammalia; Primates; Hominidae. The record is from RNAcentral.